CCUACGGGAGGCAGCAGUGAGGAAUAUUGGUCAAUGGCCGCAAGGCUGAACCAGCCAAGUAGCGUGAAGGAUGACUGCCCUAUGGGUUGUAAACUUCUUUUAUGUGGGGAUAAAGGUGUCCACGUGUGGAUGUUUGCAGGUACCGCAUGAAUAAGGAUCGGCUAAUUCCGUGCCAGCAGCCGCGGUAAUACGGAGGGUCCGGGCGUUAUCCGGAUUUAUUGGGUUUAAAGGGAGCGUAGGCGGGUUUUUAUGCGUGCUGUGAAAUUUUGUGGCUCAACCGUGAAAGUGCGGUUGAAACUGGAGACCUUGAGUGCGCGAAAGGCAGGCGGAAUUCGUGGUGUAGCGGUGAAAUGCUUAGAUAUCACGAAGAACCCCGAUUGCGAAGGCAGCCUGCCGGAGCGUAACUGACGCUGAAGCUCGAAAGCGCGGGUAUCGAACAGGAUUAGAUACCCUAGUAGUC
RNAcentral lists this ribosomal RNA (460 nucleotides) under uncultured bacterium. Its description in RNAcentral is "partial 16S ribosomal RNA". It matches the Rfam family "Bacterial small subunit ribosomal RNA", at positions 338 to 795 of the family's 1533-position model. The record is from RNAcentral.